This 73-nucleotide transfer RNA is filed under the name Streptomyces phage Bmoc. RNAcentral describes it as "tRNA-Arg". It matches the Rfam family "tRNA". From Rfam's summary of the family: Transfer RNA (tRNA) molecules are approximately 80 nucleotides in length. Their secondary structure includes four short double-helical elements and three loops (D, anti-codon, and T loops). The record is from RNAcentral. Lineage: Duplodnaviria; Heunggongvirae; Uroviricota; Caudoviricetes; Stanwilliamsviridae. RNAcentral also lists the same sequence under 3 other names.
CUCUCCAUAGGCUAACGGAUAAACCGUAGGACUACGAAUCCUAAAUUGAAGGUUCGAAUCCUUCUGGAGAGGC